This 253-nucleotide ribosomal RNA is filed under the name uncultured bacterium. Its description in RNAcentral is "partial 16S ribosomal RNA". It matches the Rfam family "Bacterial small subunit ribosomal RNA", at positions 524 to 776 of the family's 1533-position model. The record is from RNAcentral.
UACGUAGGGACCGAGCGUUGUCCGGAUUCAUUGGGCGUAAAGAGCUCGUAGGCGGCCACUCAAGUCGAAUGUGAAACCUCGAGGCUUAACCUCGGGCCUGCAUUCGAUACUGGGCGGCUAGAGUCUGGUAGGGGGAUCUGGAAUUCCUGGUGUAGCGGUGGAAUGCGCAGAUAUCAGGAGGAACACCGGUGGCGAAGGCGGGAUCCUGGGCCAGUACUGACGCUGAGGGGCGAAAGCGUGGGGAGCGAACAGG